Molecule: ribosomal RNA, 331 nt
Filed under: uncultured bacterium
Lineage: Bacteria
Description: bacterial SSU rRNA
Rfam family: Bacterial small subunit ribosomal RNA
Source: RNAcentral
AAUCAACGCUGGCGGCGUGCCUCAGACAUGCAAGUCGAACGAUUAAAGCUCCCUUCGGGGAGUGCAUAAAGUGGCGCACGGGUGAGUAACACGUAAGUAAUCUACCCUCGGGUGGGGAAUAACAUCGGGAAACCGAUGCUAAUACCGCAUAAUGCAGCGGCACCGCAAGGUGACAGUUGUUAAAGAUUUAUUGCCUGGGGAGGAGCUUGCGGCAGAUUAGCUUGUUGGUAAGGAACGGCUUACCAAGGCUACGAUCUGUAUCCGGUCUAAGAGGACGGUCGGACACACUGACACUGAAUAACGGGUCAGACUCCUACGGGAGGCAGCAGUC